UCCCUGGUGGCUCAGAUGGUAAAGAAUCUGCCUGCGAUGCAGGAGACCCAGGUUCAAUCCCUGGGUUGGGAA
This 72-nucleotide transfer RNA is filed under the name Odocoileus virginianus texanus. It matches the Rfam family "tRNA". Rfam says of the family: Transfer RNA (tRNA) molecules are approximately 80 nucleotides in length. Their secondary structure includes four short double-helical elements and three loops (D, anti-codon, and T loops). Further hydrogen bonds mediate the characteristic L-shaped molecular structure. tRNAs have two regions of fundamental functional importance: the anti-codon, which is responsible for specific mRNA codon recognition, and the 3' end, to which the tRNAs corresponding amino acid is attached (by aminoacyl-tRNA synthetases). tRNAs cope with the degeneracy of the genetic code in two manners: having more than one tRNA (with a specific anti-codon) for a particular amino acid; and 'wobble' base-pairing, i.e. permitting non-standard base-pairing at the 3rd anti-codon position. RNAcentral also lists the same sequence under 4 other names. Lineage: Eukaryota; Metazoa; Chordata; Mammalia; Artiodactyla; Cervidae. The record is from Rfam by way of RNAcentral.